This 165-nucleotide unclassified non-coding RNA is filed under the name uncultured Gnomoniaceae. RNAcentral describes it as "sequence contains ITS2". Lineage: Eukaryota; Fungi; Ascomycota; Sordariomycetes; Diaporthales; Gnomoniaceae. The record is from RNAcentral.
CAACCCUCAAAACCCCUGGUUUUGGUGUUGAAGGACGACCCUGUAAUAGGGGUCCCCUUCUAAAUUCAGUGGCGGGCUCGCUAGUAUUUUGAGCGUAGUAAUUUUAUACCUCGUUUAUUAAAGACUGGCGGGACUUCUAGCCGUAAAACCCCCUAAUAUCUGAAA